AAAAGAUCGAGGGAAAAGAAGAUGCGACCCAGGACGCCCGGUUAAAGGAACUGGAGUGACAGAAAGGAAUGGACCAUCCCUCUUCACCUCCAUUCCGGGAAGCUCUGUCAUAACUCCUCAGUGCUAGGAACCCUAGCGGAGGUGACAGAGACUCCCCCAGGGAUAAAGAGGUCAGCAAAGCUAGAAAGGAAUUUCCCUUCCUGCGAGAUAAUUGGACCAGUCAUGUCUCUCCCUCAGUGCCUCAGCCCCCGCCUCCCCCCGCAUCUGUACAAUGGGGCAGCAUAACUUUGGGAUAUAUGAGAAUGCACAAGACAGAAUUGAGCACAAUGUUCCUGCAGCAUCUCUGGUUCCAGGCUCAGCUGGGAGGGAAGCAGAGAAGAGAUGCCAGUGGCAGCAAAGCGGGAAACCCAAGCAACAACAUGGAGGAAGCAAGAGGACCAUGGGAAGAAAAAGGAAGCUGACCACAUGUCUUUCUUGAAAGACUUUAUUUUUCUGUAGCUGAAACUGUGAGCUUAGAGGGCUUACAGUGUGGUCAAGGAAACAGCUGACAAGAAACAACUAGAGAACAAGGCUGGAGCGCAGAACUUCGAGAUUCAGCUCCAGGUUCCUCCUUCCCUGCGUAACGAAGGUUCCUCCAAGAAUCGGCUGGACCGGUGGCUGCAACUUCCUCACCUCCUGUCAACUAUUAAGAAUUUUUUAAAUAAAAAAGUAGAAAAGUCGUAUACGAAAACAUUCUUGCUGUCUAUUUUACGCCACUUCCAUUUUGCUUUCACCCCGCUAGUACACUGAAACCGCUCUGAACAAGAUUGUCACACCCUAGGUUGCUAAAUAAAAUGGUGACUUCUCAGUCUUUUUCUUCCCAGAACUUUGUGUGGUAUUUGGUACUGUUGGUUUCUUUUCUUACUCAUAUUCAGUUCAUGUUUUUGACCAUUUACCAUGUGCCAGGCCUCUAGGCUCGAGGGUACAUUGGUGCACAAAACAGACAUGUUCCAUGGCUUCACAGGACUGACUUUCUAGUGGCAUUAAAGAUAAAUUUGUCGUUGUUGAAAUUCCUUCCUGGGCUUGCAUGACACGGCUCUCUCCUAGCAUCUUAGCUUUAUGGCCACCUCUGUCAGUCUUCUCUGCUGGAUACUUUUCCUGUACUUAUUCCCUAAAUGAUGAUGGCUCUGCUCUCCCCAGGCUCUGCUCUCAGCCUGUCUAUUCUACAUGCUCUCCUUAAGCCUUUAACACUUGUAUGAGAACUCUAAAAUCUCUAUCUCUAGCUCAGAUCUCAUUCUUGCUCCAGUCUAGCUCCAGACUACUAUCUCUGAUUGCCUCCUGGCAGUCCUUUUGUCCCACAGACACAUCAAACAUGAGGUGUCCAAUAAUUUCUAUCUUUUCCACCAGAGUUCCAUAUUUGGCACCAUCCCUUACUAGUUGGUCAAGUCAGAAGUCAGAGUUAUCUUUGAUUCCUCUCUAUGCUUCAUAGCUGCUCCUCACAUUGGAUUUACAUUCCCAAUCUCCCUCUUGAACCUUUCCAUCAUCAUCCAUUACACCCUUGCAAUUUCAACCCUGUGGUACUGCCAUUAACUGCUAAAGGAGAACAUUAUAGCAUACUGAUGAAGAGCAUGAGCUAUGAACUGGACUCUCUGGGUUUUCUUUAACUUUAUUUGUUUGAGAGAUACGCAGCAUGCGUGGGGGAGGGGCAGAGAGAGAGGGAGAGCCAGAGACUCCCAAGCAGAAUCCCAAGCAGAUUCUGUGCUGCCUGUACAGAGCCCGAUCCCAGGAACCUCAAGAUCAUGACCUGAGCCAGAACGAACUGCUGGACGCCUAACUGGCUGAGCCACCUAGGCGCCCCUGGACUCUCUGGGUUUUAAUCUUAUCUCUACCACUUACUACCUUUGUAAUUCUUGAAUGAGUCACUUCUCUGUGCCUUUGUUUCCUCAUCUUUAAAGUGGGUAUGACAGUACAUUGGGUAGUUGCAAGGACUAAGUGAAUUAAUAUACAUAAAGCACUAAAAUGGAAAGCCCUUAGAAUAAUACCUGUCACACAUUAAAUGUUCAAUAAAUGUUAGCUAUAAUAAUUAUUUUGUACUGACUUUUCAGUCUUUAGUUUCUCUUCAUCUAAUCCUGUAAGUCUGAUCAUGUCACACCCCUGCUGAAAAGAUGCAGAUAGACCCUCAUCACCUUCAAGAUAAAAUUUUAAAAAUCUCUAGUCCUUGUCUACCUCUCCAACCUCUUUGGAAUUGUUUGCUGCU
This is a long non-coding RNA of Felis catus (domestic cat), 2236 nucleotides long. RefSeq lists it as uncharacterized. The transcript has 3 exons. Lineage: Eukaryota; Metazoa; Chordata; Mammalia; Carnivora; Felidae. The record is from RefSeq and is a predicted model, not a curated record.